GACGAACGCUGGCGGCGUGCCUAAUACAUGCAAGUAGAACGCACAGUUUAUACCGUAGCUUGCUACACCAUAGACUGUGAGUUGCGAACGGGUGAGUAACGCGUAGGUAACCUGCCUGGUAGCGGGGGAUAACUAUUGGAAACGAUAGCUAAUACCGCAUAAUAUUAAUUAUUGCAUGAUAAUUAAUUGAAAGGUGCAAUUGCACCACUACCAGAUGGACCUGCGUUGUAUUAGCUAGUAGGUGAGGUAACGGCUCACCUAGGCGACGAUACAUAGCCGACCUGAGAGGGUGAGCGGCCACACUGGGACUGAGACACGGCCCAGACUCCUACGGGAGGCAGCAGUAGGGAAUCUUCGGCAAUGGACGAAAGUCUGACCGAGCAACGCCGCGGGAGUGAAGAAGGUUGUCGGAUCGGAAAGCUCUGUUGUAAGAGAAGAACGGGUGUGAGAGUGGAAAGUUCACACUGUGACGGUAUCUUACCAGAAAGGGACGGCUAACUACGUG
This 505-nucleotide ribosomal RNA is filed under the name uncultured bacterium. RNAcentral describes it as "partial 16S ribosomal RNA". It matches the Rfam family "Bacterial small subunit ribosomal RNA", at positions 28 to 507 of the family's 1533-position model. The record is from RNAcentral.